UUAUAUUUCUAAAAAGUUAUCUACUUUUUUAUUUACCCUCUCAGAAGGGUAAUAUUAAAAAUAUGCUUUUUUCGUUCCAAAUUAUUUCAAUAUAUCCCUUAAAAUUAAACUCUGUUAGUUAACUAUUGGCAAUAGUCAUUAUCUCUAUAAAAUUACUAUUUUACCUUUUCUAAUAUACUCUUUUACCAUCACCACCUUUUCUUAUUUGGCCUUCAGUUAGGAUAAAAAAAAUAUUUUGAUUUUCGAUCUUUUCAAAUAUAUCCAUCUAUCCUCACCAACUUUUCUUAUUUGUUAUUAAGUUAAGGACAAAAGAAAUACUUUAAUUUUUUAACUCUAGUAGUUAUUUAACUCACGUUAAAUUUGAAUUAAUUUAAUAGAGAUAACUAUAAGAAUACAUUAGAAACAAAAAAAAUAAAAAUAAAUUAAAUAUUUUUAAAAUUUUGAAGAGUAUAUAGUAAAUUAUU
Molecule: long non-coding RNA, 464 nt
Filed under: Ananas comosus (pineapple)
Lineage: Eukaryota; Viridiplantae; Streptophyta; Magnoliopsida; Poales; Bromeliaceae
Description: long non-coding RNA (ACOM_LNC012998)
Source: RNAcentral